CCUACGGGAGGCAGCAGUAGGGAAUAUUGCACAAUGGGGGAAACCCUGAAGCAGCGACGCCGCGUGAGUGAUGAAGGUUUUCGGUAUGUAAAGUCCUAUUGGCAGGGAAGAAAAUGACGGUACCUAAGUAAUAAGCCCCGGCUAACUCCGUGCCAGCAGCCGCGGUAAUACGUAGGGGGCAAGCGUUAUCCGGAUUUACUGGGUGUAAAGGGAGCGUAGACGGGAGAGCAAGUCUGGUGUGAAAGCCGAUGGCUCAACCCUAGAACUGCAUUUGAAACUGUUAGGCUGGAGUGUGGGAGAGGUAAGUGGAAUUCCUGGUGUAGCGGUAAAAUCCGUAGAGAUUAAGAGGAAUACUAAUGGCGAAGGCGACUUGCUGGAACAUAACUGACGCUGAGGCUCGAAAGCGUGGGGAGCAAACAGGAUUAGAUACCCUAGUAGUC
Molecule: ribosomal RNA, 440 nt
Filed under: uncultured bacterium
Lineage: Bacteria
Description: partial 16S ribosomal RNA
Rfam family: Bacterial small subunit ribosomal RNA
Source: RNAcentral